This 407-nucleotide ribosomal RNA is filed under the name Klebsiella pneumoniae. RNAcentral describes it as "bacterial LSU rRNA". It matches the Rfam family "Bacterial large subunit ribosomal RNA", at positions 1358 to 1767 of the family's 2925-position model. Lineage: Bacteria; Pseudomonadati; Pseudomonadota; Gammaproteobacteria; Enterobacterales; Enterobacteriaceae. The record is from RNAcentral.
UCCAACGUUAAUCGGGGCAGGGUGAGUCGACCCCUAAGGCGAGGCCGAAAGGCGUAGUCGAUGGGAAACAGGUUAAUAUUCCUGUACUUGGUGUUACUGGCGAAGGGGGGACGGAGAAGGCUAUGUUAGCCGGGCGACGGUUGUCCCGGUUUAAGCAUGUAGGCUGGUUAUCCAGGCAAAUCCGGAUAAUCAAGGCUGAGGUGUGAUGACGAGGCACUACGGUGCUGAAGUAACAAAUGCCCUGCUUCCAGGAAAAGCCUCUAAGCAUCAGGUAACAUCAAAUCGUACCCCAAACCGACACAGGUGGUCAGGUAGAGAAUACCAAGCGCUUGAGAGAACUCGGGUGAAGGAACUAGGCAAAAUGGUGCCGUAACUUCGGGAGAAGGCACGCUGGUGUGUAGGUGAAG